This 450-nucleotide ribosomal RNA is filed under the name uncultured bacterium. RNAcentral describes it as "partial 16S ribosomal RNA". It matches the Rfam family "Bacterial small subunit ribosomal RNA", at positions 354 to 796 of the family's 1533-position model. The record is from RNAcentral.
GUGGGGAAUUUUGGACAAUGGGCGCAAGCCUGAUCCAGCAAUGCCGCGUGCAGGAAGAAGGCCUUCGGGUUGUAAACUGCUUUUGUACGGAACGAAACGGUCCGGGUUAAUACCCUGGGCUAAUGACGGUACCGUAAGAAUAAGCACCGGCUAACUACGUGCCAGCAGCCGCGGUAAUACGUAGGGUGCGAGCGUUAAUCGGAAUUACUGGGCGUAAAGCGUGCGCAGGCGGUGCUGUAAGACAGGCGUGAAAUCCCCGGGCUCAACCUGGGAAUUGCGCUUGUGACUGCAGUGCUGGAGUGCGGCAGAGGGGGAUGGAAUUCCGCGUGUAGCAGUGAAAUGCGUAGAUAUGCGGAGGAACACCGAUGGCGAAGGCAAUCCCCUGGGCCUGCACUGACGCUCAUGCACGAAAGCGUGGGGAGCAAACAGGAUUAGAAACCCGGGUAGUCC